AUCGACUGCUUGCUUGGCCUAUCUAAAGUUUCAGUUUAGGAUGCAGUGAUGGGUAGCCUGCACACCACUUUCGAUGGAGGUCAGGGAGGACAUAACCGCCAUCUGCAUGUCCAUUACCGAGAACGAAGGCUCUGGACAGCUCGUCCUUUGACAUCUCC
Molecule: long non-coding RNA, 158 nt
Organism: Sardina pilchardus (European sardine)
Lineage: Eukaryota; Metazoa; Chordata; Actinopteri; Clupeiformes; Clupeidae
Exons: 3
Source: RefSeq, a predicted model, not a curated record